AGAGAUAAUAUGGUUGGUCUCAAUCAAAGGAGGGGUGUGGUUAAUAAUAGUUGUGGAGUGGAUUGUUACCAACAAGUGGAUCUAUGUAAUUUGGGCCUAGAAGCUCAAAACAAUGGUUCAUUCUUGCAAAAACAAAACUCAAAAUAGGAAUUAUUUUUACAAACAACAAUAUUAUUGGGGCAGCAGCAGAUCUGGCGCGUGGCGCAACAGAUCCGGUCUGUAUAAGGAAAAGCAAAUUUCUGAAGCAAGUUCGAAGUUUUGAGCUAAAUCCACUAUUCACACCAUUGUCAGAGCUGAGAAGCACAAGUUUCAUCACUUUGAAUGAAGAAUUGAUCCAUCAUUAUCAUCAUCAUCAUCAUCAUCAAUCCAUGAAUUAUUGCAUCAUAAUCAUGGAUCUUCUUCACUUUAUGAUGUCUAGCUAAUUACCUCAUAGGUUGGAUCUUGGAAUGAGUUUAUAUAUAUAUUUUUUUAAUCAUACUAACUACACAAAAAGACCACAGCUAAAUGGAAAUUUCUGACAAAUGUCAAUCACACACACAAUCUGCACAAAUCCUAGGUGGAAGAUUUUGAAAAAACUUGCUUCUUUUGGCCAUGAAUUCGAAUUUUCUUCCCCUCCAAUUCAUCACAUCGCUUACUGGGCCAUAAGCAAGAGUCCAGUCCAACAAGGCCCAAAGAAGCCCGGUCCGGAUUGAACAAAAGAAUAAAAAAAACGCAUGCGUUGAAAAGUGGACAGUGGAACAGCAUCGAGAAGUCCUUUUCAUUGAACAAUUCCGCAGAACUCAUCUUCUUCUUUUGGCUAUGAAUUUUGAAACCAUUUUCAAAUCCAAAAAGUUUCAGCAUCUUAUCGAUGCAACAUCUACUUCUCCCUCUGUCAUCGCAAGAGAAAUUCCAUUUUUAUCCCUUCACUCUCUUCAAAUCCUCCUCUAAUUUGAGAAAAUUUUCACAUGUCUUUAGAUGAAGAAAAACCCAAUUUUGAAGAAUACCCAUUUUAAUGAUUCAUUAUCUGUUGAUUUUGCAGGUUUGGUCAAUACACAUGCAGAUUGGAUUUCCCUCCAAAGGGAUAAGAUUAUAUCAAGAGGUUUACAAAUUAGGGUAGUUUUAUUGCAGAAUUAAUCAGAGAGAAAACUAUGCAUAUAGCAAUACUAUGCCUCUUGAUUGUAAUUUUAUUUACAAGUGAAAUAAUUUGAGUGGGUUGUGCUUUACAGGUAGUGUACAUCUUCAGGGUUCACAAACCCAACGACGACAAUGUUAUUGUUUGAUUCUGGGAAACUUGGCAGCUGCAUUGGUAGAAAUUUGCUCGAGGUCCUAAUUUUGAGGGAUUGCAUGCUUCUCAAAGAAUUGCCAAUGUCUUAAUUUGUAAAUGAGGAUUUGGUAAUGAUUUUGGUGGUUCUUAAAUGGGUAACACAUGGCACACCUUCAAGUUCAAGCUGCCAGAGGCACCAAAUUCAAAGUGGAGACUUCCAUAUUUGAUUUAUCCGAUCAAAUAUUUUAAAUUCUAUUUUUUUAAAUAUGGUAUAGUGGACAGUGUAAUGCAAUGCAAUGGGGGUUACAAAAUAGAUGAUUAUUUCAUAGGCGAAGGUUUAUAAAGGAAGAUCCUGCCAAUAUUCCAAAGAGGCAUAUUAGAUUUUUUAGUUACUUCAAAGUCUCCUAAUUUAAGAACUCUUGCUUCAAUAGUUUAUGUGUGUACUCUUUGAUUUCACAAUGUUGUAUUGCGAGGUUCAACGGUUGUUGAUGUCUUUCAAGAUCUAUUGGUUAAAGUGUGUACACGCCGAAGGGAAAUAUGAGAGUAGCUUUCAAUAUCAAGCUUGAAAUUUAUUAUUUAGUUCAUCUCGACAACGGGACUGCGACCUUAAAGAGUGAUUUUAGGUAACACAUGAAGCAUGAGAUUAAAUAGAUAAGGACUUUAUAUCCGAUACCAAGUAAUUAGUGCACAUAAUGUGCCAUAUACAAGCAGAAAAGCUCGACACGAGCUUGAUAUUGUACCAGUUCUCCAACUACAAGGAAACUCUAGAGUUUGUGGAAGAUUAGCUAAAGCCUGAGUGCAACUAGGAUAGACACAAUUUCUAUUGUAUAUUCAUGAUAUAUUUAUCUCAAUUUCUAUUGUAUCGUAUACUAUUAAAGUAUGUACACUGCAUUUUUUAUUUGUAUAUUGUCUCAACUUAUAUAUUAAUUAAAUAGAGAUUAAGCACA
Long non-coding RNA from Trifolium pratense (red clover), 2190 nucleotides. RefSeq lists it as uncharacterized. The transcript has 8 exons. The record is from RefSeq and is a predicted model, not a curated record. Lineage: Eukaryota; Viridiplantae; Streptophyta; Magnoliopsida; Fabales; Fabaceae.